GUUUUAAUAAUUUAAAUAAAAUAUUGGUCUUGUAAACCAAAAAUAUGAUCUCCUUUUAAAACA
This 63-nucleotide transfer RNA is filed under the name Curculionoidea sp. 26 KM-2017. Its description in RNAcentral is "tRNA-Thr". It matches the Rfam family "tRNA". Rfam says of the family: Transfer RNA (tRNA) molecules are approximately 80 nucleotides in length. Their secondary structure includes four short double-helical elements and three loops (D, anti-codon, and T loops). The record is from RNAcentral. Lineage: Eukaryota; Metazoa; Arthropoda; Insecta; Coleoptera.